UACGUAGGGUGCAAGCGUUGUCCGGAAUUAUUGGGCGUAAAGAGCUCGUAGGCGGUUUGUCGCGUCGAAUGUGAAAACCCGGGGCUCAACCCCGGGCCUGCAUUCGAUACGGGCAGACUAGAGUUCGGUAGGGGAGACUGGAAUUCCUGGUGUAGCGGUGAAAUGCGCAGAUAUCAGGAGGAACACCGGUGGCGAAGGCGGGUCUCUGGGCCGAAACUGACGCUGAGGAGCGAAAGCGUGGGGAGCAAACAGG
This 253-nucleotide ribosomal RNA is filed under the name uncultured bacterium. RNAcentral's name for it is "partial 16S ribosomal RNA". It matches the Rfam family "Bacterial small subunit ribosomal RNA", at positions 524 to 776 of the family's 1533-position model. The record is from RNAcentral.